CCUACGGGGGGCAGCAGUGAGGAAUAUUGGUCAAUGGGCGAGAGCCUGAACCAGCCAAGUCGCGUGAAGGAUGACGGCCCUACGGGUUGUAAACUUCUGUUGUCAGGGAGCAAGUGGGUCCACGCGUGGGCUUAGCGAGAGUACCUGAAGAAAAAGCAGCGGCUAACUCCGUGCCAGCAGCCGCGGUAAUACGGAGGAUGUGAGCGUUAUCCGGAUUUCUUGGGUUUAAAGGGUGCGUAGGCGGAAUAUCAAGUCAGCGGUAAAGAUUCGGGGCUCAACCCCGUCGUGCCGUUGAAACUGAUGUUCUUGCGUGGGCUAGAAGUAUGCGGAAUGCGUGGUGUAGCCGUUACAUGCAUAGAUAUCACGCAUAACUCCGAUUGCGAAGGCAGCAUACCGGCGCCCAACUGACGCUGAGGCACGAAAGCGUGGGUAUCGAACAGGAUUAGAUACCCUAGUAGUC
RNAcentral lists this ribosomal RNA (460 nucleotides) under uncultured bacterium. RNAcentral describes it as "partial 16S ribosomal RNA". It matches the Rfam family "Bacterial small subunit ribosomal RNA", at positions 338 to 795 of the family's 1533-position model. The record is from RNAcentral.